This 251-nucleotide ribosomal RNA is filed under the name uncultured bacterium. RNAcentral describes it as "partial 16S ribosomal RNA". The record is from RNAcentral.
CUGCUGCCUCCCGUAGGAGUCUGGGCCGUGUCUCAGUCCCAAUGUGGCCGUUCAACCUCUCAGUCCGGCUACCGAUCGUCAGCUUGGUGGGCUAUUAUCUCACCAACUACCUAAUCGGGCGCGAGCCCAUCUUUCAGCGAUAAAUCUUUGAUUGGGUCAUGAUGCCAUAUCCCAAUGUUAUGCGGUAUUAGCGUUCGUUUCCAAACGUUAUUCCCCUCUGAAAGGCAGGUUGCUCACGUGUUACUCACCCG